UAAAAUUUAUAAAAUUAGGUAGUAAAGAAAUUUCCGAAACCUAAAGAAUUUGGCGGUAUUUUAAAUAAUUGGAGGAACCUGUUAUUUAAUUGACAAUCCACAACAUAUCUUACCUAAAUUUUAUUUGUAUAUCGUCGUUUUGAUAAUAUUUAAAAAUAAUAAUCAAUUUUAAUAAAUUUUUAAAAUUCAGAUCAAGGUGCAGUAUAUUUAGGUUAUAAUGGGUUACAAUAUAUUUAUAUAAAAUGAAUAUAAAAUUGAAAUUAUAUUGAAGGUGGAUUCAAAAGUAAGAUUAAAUUAAAAAGUUAAUCUGAUUAAUAAUUUAAAAUAUGC
RNAcentral lists this ribosomal RNA (330 nucleotides) under Paravaejovis confusus. RNAcentral describes it as "partial 12S ribosomal RNA". Lineage: Eukaryota; Metazoa; Arthropoda; Arachnida; Scorpiones; Vaejovidae. The record is from RNAcentral.